This 253-nucleotide unclassified non-coding RNA is filed under the name uncultured Euzebyaceae bacterium. RNAcentral's name for it is "contains 16S-23S intergenic spacer region". It matches the Rfam family "Bacterial small subunit ribosomal RNA", at positions 524 to 776 of the family's 1533-position model. The record is from RNAcentral. Lineage: Bacteria; Bacillati; Actinomycetota; Nitriliruptoria; Euzebyales; Euzebyaceae.
UACGGAGGAUGCGAGCGUUAUCCGGAAUUAUUGGGCGUAAAGAGCUCGUAGGCGGUUCUUUAAGUCGGAUGUGAAAUCUCCGGGCUUAACCCUGAAACCGCACCCGAUACUGGAGAACUUGAGGCAGGUAGGGGAGAUCGGAAUUCCUGGUGUAGCGGUGAAAUGCGCAGAUAUCAGGAGGAACACCGGUGGCGAAGGCGGAUCUCUGGCCCUGUACUGACGCUGAGGAGCGAAAGCGUGGGGAGCAAACAGG